CAGCAGCCGCGGUAAUACGAAGGGGGCUAGCGUUGUUCGGAAUUACUGGGCGUAAAGCGCACGUAGGCGGACAUUUAAGUCAGGGGUGAAAUCCCGGGGCUCAACCCCGGAACUGCCUUUGAUACUGGGUGUCUAGAGUAUGGAAGAGGUGAGUGGAAUUCCGAGUGUAGAGGUGAAAUUCGUAGAUAUUCGGAGGAACACCAGUGGCGAAGGCGGCUCACUGGUCCAUUACUGACGCUGAGGUGCGAAAGCGUGGGGAGCAAACAGGAUUAGAUACCCGCGUAGUCCCUGUCUCUUAUAC
RNAcentral lists this ribosomal RNA (301 nucleotides) under uncultured bacterium. Its description in RNAcentral is "partial 16S ribosomal RNA". It matches the Rfam family "Bacterial small subunit ribosomal RNA", at positions 509 to 807 of the family's 1533-position model. The record is from RNAcentral.